Molecule: small RNA, 125 nt
Filed under: Marmota monax (woodchuck)
Lineage: Eukaryota; Metazoa; Chordata; Mammalia; Rodentia; Sciuridae
Source: RNAcentral
GCUGGACGUGGUGGCGCAUGCCUGUAAUCCCAGUGGCUCAGGAGGCUAAGGCCGGAGGAUCACGAGUUCAAAGCCAGCCUCAGCAAUGGCAAGGCACUAAGCAACUCAGUGAGACCCUGUCUCUA